This is a long non-coding RNA of Apodemus sylvaticus (European woodmouse), 907 nucleotides long. RefSeq lists it as uncharacterized. Lineage: Eukaryota; Metazoa; Chordata; Mammalia; Rodentia; Muridae. The transcript has 3 exons. The record is from RefSeq and is a predicted model, not a curated record.
UUGCAUAGCCUUCCUUCCUCCCUUUCCCCAGGUUCAUCAACCUGGAGAAAAGCUAGUCAAGUCUGGACACCAGAAGAAGGCCGCUGUCUGCUCCAGGAGGCUUUCUGAUCCACCCCCACCACCUCCACCCCUCUUCUACUGCCUGCAGCCCAGUGUUUUGCAGGAGCCGAGCACUGAGGAGACGAAGUAAACAGCAGGGCUCAUGGGACUGAAGUGAUGCCCCUGAGGCUGCAAGCCAGCAAGUGGCAGAGUGAUGUUCGGUCUAUUUCUCCAGGAGUGCAGCCUCCUGGUCCCGCUCAGCAGUCUUCUGGUUCUUUUGGACUGAUAUCUAGUCAUUGAAAAUAAAAGCAGUCAUGAAACCCUGUGACCUACAAGAAAGCUCUUUCUUCAAUCCUUCAUAUGCUGAGCUGACAACUGUCACGCAGGUCCUACUUCUCUGGUUGAUGUGUACGGCACUGACACAGACACGCAGGUUAUGUGGAUUGUGAACAAAGCUUGCACGCUGACAGACCUGCUGAAAGUUGCUGCUUCCUUGGUUGCUCUAGGUUUGCACUUGCCCAGCUCGGCUGGCUAUAUCUGAAUGAACCAGUUUCUUAUCUUACCUCCCUUACCUUGGCCGUGUAAGACCCAUUUCAGGAAGCCCAGUUUAUUACUUUUCUUUACCUUUUGUCUAAUGGUUACUCAGUGAGCCAGGAACAUGUGAUUUAAUUGCUACAUCUCCAAUGUAUCUGCACCGCCAUUUUCUACUUGUUCAAUAAAUAUUUACUGAAAGCCUGCUUCAUGCCUGGCCCUCUGUAGGCACAGAGUACCUGCCCCUACGGAACAACCUGUCUAGUCAUUUAGAGUCAUAAAACAUAUGAUUCCCCAAUAGAAAAUAGGUGUACGCAUAAUACAAGCCAACUUUUAU